AUGACAGGCACAUGUGCUGUCAUUCCAGCCACUUCCCCACCUGUGUGCGAGGUGCGGGAUGGCUCCGAGAGUCCCUGCCCUGUGGGCGCAGGGCUGGAGCUGCCGCCUCCGCUUCAGACAGCUGUGUGGCUGCUGCCGCCCACAGGGCCGAGCGGGGAACGGCCCCGGUUACCUCACACAAAGGGAGACGGAGCUCACGAGCCUCCGGCUGCUUUCUUUCCUACAGGCUGUCGGUGCUGCCUGCUUUCUCCACGAGACACGUGUCUGCUUUUGCAUUUCUCUGAUGUUUCCUGUGGGGAUUUUCCUCAGUGACUCCCUGCGAUGACACUCAGGAAGACAGACUGCUAAAUAUGAAUCGCAGAUGCUCUGAAGAGUUCCCUGAUAGCGCUACCAAAAGGGAGGUGGAGGAGGUAAGAGUUCAGGGCAAAAAGUAAUAUCAUAGUGGAAGAGAUUUUUUCAAUCCUACAUGCUGCAGGAAAGAAUUUUGUUAAUGGAGUGUUACAAUCUUUUGAGUGUGUCCCUCUCCCAGAAGGAUUUCUUGGAAGCUCGUAAGUGCCUUUGGUACGUCUUUGCAUAUAGGCCAUAUGCCUCUGGUGUGGAGGACUUGGAAACUCUAGCUCCUGCUUCAGAGCAGAAGGGCAGACCGUAAGCAUUGGUUUAACUCUUUUAGGUUUUAUUUGGGAUGGGAUUGAUGCAAGGUCUAUUAUAACAUGCUGGACAGAAGUUGGCUUGACGUGGUGAUUUUAAGUUGUCUGAUGUUAAUAGCUGCUUGUUUGUGUCCUUGUUGCCUUGCUUCCUGUUCAGUUACCACCUGCUUUAAAGUAUUGUAACAGACCUGAUGUGGGAUCAAUUCAUUAACUCCUUCCUCCUCUGUACAAAUAGCAAAAAAUUUAUGCCCUCCUGCAUUAGUGUGAGAUGAAGACAGGAGAUUUGUCAUGAUCAACUAAUGCUGUUGCUAGGAUCCCUCUCACUCUUGAAAAAAUACUUUUACAAUUUUUUCCUCAUUUUAGAGUCUUCAACUCUGUUUGCCCUAGAGUUUUCCCAACUUUAUUUUUCUUUACCCAUCCAUUUUCUAUAAUUUAUAAUUCUGAUUGAUUGUAUACCGUAGAAACUUGUAUUCAAAUGUGUUCCUAACCUGGAGCUUCCAUUUUGUGCAGAAAUCGGAGUAGGGAUGGCUAUCUUUUAAAUGACACUUCUUAGUUGGUUUUGGGCCAGUCUAAUUUGACUUGCCACAUCUCCGUGUGAGUUGCAAUUUAGCCAUUAAUAAUGUCAAAUUUAGAAAGAAGAACUGACUGACUCAGACAUGAGGCUUUGAGGUGAGGAUUAAUAAAGAUAGUUCCCAUUUUCA
RNAcentral lists this long non-coding RNA (1348 nucleotides) under Anser brachyrhynchus (Pink-footed goose). RNAcentral's name for it is "lncRNA (ENSABRG00000017768.1)". Lineage: Eukaryota; Metazoa; Chordata; Aves; Anseriformes; Anatidae. The record is from RNAcentral.